Pezoporus flaviventris is the source of this 2340-nucleotide long non-coding RNA. RefSeq lists it as uncharacterized. NCBI's taxonomy places the organism in Eukaryota, Metazoa, Chordata, Aves, Psittaciformes, Psittacidae. The record is from RefSeq and is a predicted model, not a curated record. The transcript has 3 exons.
GGUCACCCCACACUCGGUCUUGGCCAAUUUGCCUCCUGCCUUUAAGUUUCAAUUCAGUCUUCAGUCGAUGGCUGUGCCCUACUCUCUUCCUCUCUCAGCAGAACCAGUUAACCCAAUGUCUCUGCUGGCCAGCGUGGCACAAAGCAGUGACAAACAGGGCCUGCCAUGGCUAAAGCCAUCCCCAGAGCUUCCCCAGUGUCAGCAAACGCAUGCCCAGCUGUUCUUUCCCACACUGAGCAUUUCACAGUUUAUGGAGCUAAGAGGAUUUUGCUUUUCUCCUCUCUUUAAAUCCAGCACAGGGGCAGUUUAGUACUGGAUUCACUCCCUGUUACAAUGAGAAUAAUGGAGUAAUUGCUGUUUCCCAUCACAGAAUACUCAUGAUGCUUUCUAGCUAUGCAAACACCAGGUAAAAGGUCCUACAAGCCAGGAGGCAGCCCAGCUGCUUGGUGUGUGUAAACCCAAGCCAGCAAAGAGAUGGUGCUGGAGGGGACAUGGGCACAGCGAUCCCACCUCACUAGCUCCAGGUAUGAGACAAACCUCCAGCUCCUGCUCCCAGGGAAAGCUCCCAGCUGCUCAGGGAAGGACAGCCAAACCCACACGUUUGGGAAUGGGAAGAACGGGUCCCAGAGAAGCAGCAUCCUGCACCAGGGGUGUUGAGACCGCUUGGGGUGCACACAGCCUGCCAGGACCACAGAGCUGCCGUUCUGACCCCUUCUCCUUCCUUCUCUCUGCCGGCCAGGGCUCGACCGGUGCACUGAGACUCUGGCUGUUUUGUUCCAGGCAGCCGGAGCUCAUCAAGAGGAAGAAAGGCGCCUUGUCUUGGGGUUGUGGCUCUAAUCCUGUUAUGUGUCUGCAAGAGAAAAGAGGAUGACCGAGCGAGGAGGACAGACCCGGUGCCGCCGCCAAUUCCCAUCCCUUUGCACCCCGCAUCCUGUGCCAGCCCUUGCCCAGCCACAAAAGGCCGCCUCCCCUCCCUGCAAACUAACCAAGCAUUUAAAUUUAAUAGCGGUCUGCAGCCCCACCGUUUCACAGUGAUUAGGCCUUUGAUUAAAAUACCAUGUGUUGCUUGGCUGGCUGGGAAGCAAAUUCCACCCCAGGGCCCAGGAAAUCAGCUCUGGUGACUGGCACAUGGCACAGAGCGGAUGCACUUUGCUGUCCCUUCUGCUCUCUCUGUGUCAGACGAUGUGCUGACAGGGAGCCUGGCCCCUCUGGUAACCCCAAUGCACCCGCGUGUGCAAACCAUGCUCCUCCUUCCCUCAGUGCUCUGGCAAAGCCGGAGCAGGAGGAGAGCCUGAGGGCUGGGAACAUGCUGUCACCCAGGGGGGGAAACAGAGGCACAGCAAGGAAUGCUGGCCCCAGGGCGAGAAGGGGCUCUGGGGUUCAUGGGCAGCUGGAGUGAGAUGGGGGACAGAAGCUGUGUCUUCAUGCAGGAAGCAGGAGCGCACCGGGUAGACAGCAUCCUGCUGGACCCACAGCCACCAUGAGGAAGGAUCCCAGCCAGGAGGAGAUGAUUUCCAGAGCCCACCAUGCAGCCACACGUUUGCCGGUUGGUCUCACUCUUUGGCUGCUGUUUCCCUGUAUUUGGUUCCACCGACUCCCUUCAAGGGCAGCUGGAGAAGCAAGGAGCUGUGGGUUUUGGCUUGUGGUUGAAUCCAUCUCCGGAAGAAAUUGGCUCUUGUGGCAAGUGAGACGGAGCCGCAGCCGGAGGGGAGGGCAGUGGGAGGGUGGGGUGCCCUGGGCAGAGACCCCCCUCCACACUCAGUCCCAGGGCAGGGUGAAGGCAAUGGGGGCACGGGGCUGCUUCUCAUUUACACCAGCAGAAGCAAAGCCAACAUUGCCAAAGCUGCUGGGACAGCAGCGCCAGUUUCUUCUCUGAGCAGAUGGGAACAAGGAGCUGGGGAGGUGACAACCUUGGGGUGUUUUGGCUGCAGAGCUCAAAAUCCCACUGACAUCCUGAGCUGCUCCAUUGCAAGGAGGCGGCUGUGAGGAUGGUGCCAGUGACAGCUUCACCCCCUGUGCACCCAUCCCAUGAUUGGGAUGGGGAUGGAGCAGCCCCUGUGAGCAGGGAGCAGCCCAGGCACAUCCGUCAAACAUCCCAGGGGGUCCCCAAGCGUGUCUGGGAUGGCAACAACCCACAGGGAUCCCGCUCUGGUGGGAUGCAUUGCGCACCUAGCCCAGCAAAGCUGGGAAGGUCAAGGAGGGGGGACCAGGCACACGCCAUUCUCCCUGGGUGAUGCUCAGAUGGGACCCUUGGGAAGCAGGGAGUGAGGAGAUGCGGUCUCUGUGUCAGGAGAUCACUGGCGAGAGGCUUAACUUUAAAAAAAAAAUGGUUUAUUUCAA